This 295-nucleotide long non-coding RNA is filed under the name Musa acuminata (dwarf banana). Its description in RNAcentral is "long non-coding RNA (MACU_LNC002685)". The record is from RNAcentral. Lineage: Eukaryota; Viridiplantae; Streptophyta; Magnoliopsida; Zingiberales; Musaceae.
GGGAUGCCAGCGGUGGCACCGCCAGAUCCGACGGUUGCACUACCUGGCGCUCGGGCGCCAGGCGGUGACACCGCUCGGUUUGGCAGUGGCACCGACCGAGCGACCCUUAUUAACCCGAGGGGUUAGGGCCAGCGGUGACACCGCCCCCAACCCGAAAAAAAGGCUCUUAAAACCCUCUCCCAUUCCCUCUAACCCUCAUUCUAACUCUUAGAAGCAUUGGAGAAGGAUUCUUGGUGGUCCAAGCCUUCCAUCUCUCAACAUAAUCUCCAUAAGGUAACACUUGAAAUCCCUCUUU